This 468-nucleotide ribosomal RNA is filed under the name uncultured bacterium. RNAcentral's name for it is "partial 16S ribosomal RNA". It matches the Rfam family "Bacterial small subunit ribosomal RNA", at positions 28 to 507 of the family's 1533-position model. The record is from RNAcentral.
GACGAACGCUGGCGGCGUGCUUAACACAUGCAAGUCGAACGGAAAGGCCCUGCUUUUGUGGGGCGCUCGAGUGGCGAACGGGUGAGUAACACGUGAGUAACCUGCCCUUGACUUUGGGAUAACUUCAGGAAACUGGGGAUAAUACCGGAUAGGAGCUCCUGCUGCAUGGUGGGGGUUGGAAAGUUUCGGCGGUUGGGGAUGGACUCGCGGCUUAUCAGCUUGUUGGUGGGGUAGUGGCUUACCAAGGCUUUGACGGGUAGCCGGCCUGGGAGGGUGACCGGCCACAUUGGGACUGAGAUACGGCCCAGCCUCCUACGGGAGGCAGCAGUGGGGAAUAUUGCACAAUGGGCGGAGGCCUGAUGCAGCAACGCCGCGUGCGGGAUGACGGCCUUCGGGCUGUAAACCGCUUUCGCCUGUGACGAGGCGUGAGUGACGGUAAUGGGUAAAGAAGCACCGGCUAACUACGUG